RNAcentral lists this ribosomal RNA (1321 nucleotides) under Pearsonema plica. Its description in RNAcentral is "eukaryotic LSU rRNA". It matches the Rfam family "Eukaryotic large subunit ribosomal RNA", at positions 1 to 921 of the family's 3401-position model. The record is from RNAcentral. Lineage: Eukaryota; Metazoa; Nematoda; Enoplea; Trichinellida; Capillariidae.
UGACCUCAGCUUAGACGAGAUUACCCGCUGAACUUAAGCAUAUUGCUAAGCGGUGGAAAAGAAACCAAAUUGGAUUCCCUGAGUAGCGGCGAGCGAAACGGGACUUGCUCAGCGCCGAAGCUUUCAGUGUGUCGCGCAUUGAACGCGGUGUGGUGCUUGAUCUUGGCGGUCGUGAUCGUCGGCACGCUGUCGUAGGCUCCCUUGAUUGGGACGUCGAAGCGGGCGCAAGACCCAUGACGACGGUUGCCGUGGUCAAUGCUUUGCCAAGAAGUCGAGUCGGGCUGUUUGGGAGUACAACCCAAAGCGGAUGGUAUAUCGCAUCUAAGGCUGAAUAUGACUACGAGACCGAUAGUGAACAAGUACCGCGAGGGAAAGUUGAAAAGAACUCUGAAGAGAGAGUUAAAAAGGACGUGAAACCGUUCAAAAGAAAACUGACGGAGCUGUCGUUGUCAGACGGUUGGCAAUCAAUCGCGGUCAGCGUGGCCGAGUCGUCGGCGUCGCUUGACCGGCCGCAGUUGUUUUCGCUGCGGACGGCGGCGGUGACGAUUGACCUGAGAAUCGGCUGCGAGCGAUGCAUUUGUCGACUGCAGGCGCCAUGAGCAGCGCGCGGCAGUUGCGCGUCAAGGCCUGGCCGCUUCGCUAUGACGCGAUCGUCUUGGACGGAUUUUCUUUCCAUUGGCGAUCGGUCGGCGGCGCAAGGUCCACCAUUCAAGGCAACGGUCAUUGCCGGCGCUGUUUUUAUGGCUGCGGCCGCGGUUGCCCGUCAAGCUUGGUGUGCCAAGCUUCAUGGGCGAACUUGCAUUGCGACGGCGGCAGUGUUGGCCAAGUGCGUUUUCGGCGUGGAUCAUUUUGACCGGUCGUUUAAUUUUCAGCCUGCAAAGGUUGGGUUGGCGAUUUGCAUGGUCUCGUCGGAACGCAGCUGCUGUUGUUCAAUGUCGGCACCCGUUGGCUGCCGUUCUGUGGCGUUUUCGUGACGGUCACCCGUCAGACCCGUCUUGAAACACGGACCAAGGAGUGCAGCAGUUGCGCGAGUCAUUGGCACGUUUUGACGGUCAAAGGCGUAACGAAAGUGACCCGUUUAUUAAAGGGUGCGUAGAGCCGGAAAGCCUUCACGGGCGCUCUGGCGUAUACGGGAGCCGUUCGAAUCGGAAUUGCCGGUGGCCCUGGUUGCCGCCGGUGACCGAUGCAACGGAUUCGGAGCGCGCAUGCUGCUACCCGAAAGAUGGUGAACUAUGCCUGAGCAGGAUGAAGCCAGAGGAAACUCUGGUGGAAGUUCGAAGCGGUGUUGACGUGCAAAUCACUCGCUUGACUUGUGCAUAGG